UGGUGGGUAGUUUGACUGGGGCGGUCUCCUCCUAAAGAGUAACGGAGGAGCACGAAGGUUGGCUAAUCCUGGUCGGACAUCAGGAGGUUAGUGCAAUGGCAUAAGCCAGCUUGACUGCGAGCGUGACGGCGCGAGCAGGUGCGAAAGCAGGUCAUAGUGAUCCGGUGGUUCUGAAUGGAAGGGCCAUCGCUCAACGGAUAAAAGGUACUCCGGGGAUAACAGGCUGAUACCGCCCAAGAGUUCAUAUCGACGGCGGUGUUUGGCACCUCGAUGUCGGCUCAUCACAUCCUGGGGCUGAAGUAGGUCCCAAGGGUAUGGCUGUUCGCCAUUUAAAGUGGUACGCGAGCUGGGUUUAGAACGUCGUGAGACAGUUCGGUCCCUA
RNAcentral lists this ribosomal RNA (382 nucleotides) under Escherichia coli. Its description in RNAcentral is "bacterial LSU rRNA". It matches the Rfam family "Bacterial large subunit ribosomal RNA", at positions 2259 to 2640 of the family's 2925-position model. RNAcentral also lists the same sequence under 58 other names. The record is from RNAcentral. Lineage: Bacteria; Pseudomonadati; Pseudomonadota; Gammaproteobacteria; Enterobacterales; Enterobacteriaceae.